UCCUUUUUACUACUAAUGUGCAGCUACGGU
Molecule: non-coding RNA, 30 nt
Filed under: Rattus norvegicus (Norway rat)
Lineage: Eukaryota; Metazoa; Chordata; Mammalia; Rodentia; Muridae
Source: RNAcentral